GUGUCAAGGACCAUAAUUGUUCAACUCAUCCCAAAUGGUCUCGUACCUACAAUGUUUUUUCUCCAUGAUCCUACAACUCACAAGGAUACACUGGGUCCCUCGGGGCCCGAUUUAUUCCCGUGCUGCUUGGCUCCAGAAGCCUGUCCAAGCGAUUCGAGUAUAAAGUACAAUUAGGAGCACCUUGGGUGGCGAGGGUCACUCAAGACUCAAACGAGUUUGAACUGUGCAAGACAUCAUCUUUCAGCUGGCUUGCCCUCCAUCCGUGGACAAGUUGCGAAUACUCGAGCCACAUUAAGAACUUGAAAUGGAUGAGUAGCCACAGAGGGUGCUCUUCCUGCAGACGGAAAUAAAAACAUCACAUUGGUUGUGCACACUUACUACCUUUCGCCGUCGUCGUCUACAUCGUUGUUGUUGUUGUUGUUGUUGAGCGCCUCAGGAUCAAGAUCAGGUUGGUCAUUGAGAGGGUGAUACGGUUUUAAUGGUAUCCAGGUCAGUUUCAGUUUAAGAGGGAAGAGACGCUGAAGCGCCCGCGUACUUUUCUUGUGAGGAUUAUGAAUCUCGUUUGGAAGAAGAUGUCCUUGCUGGAGGCCAUCUCCCAGUUUGAAAAGAGUCCGAGCUUGUCGGAUGGUCGGGCAUAUUCUUGGACUUCAGGGCAAUUGCUUUGAGACAGAUCAAGCCAAGAGCAAGUAGGAAUUUCCAAAGAGGAUUGAAUUAGAGCCGAGGAUAAUUAGAAAUGGAUCCUUCCUCGCUUAUCAUGGUGAUUUGGAAAGCUCCGUGGCUUUCCAAUCGCGCCUUGGACUCUCGUCUGUCUCUCCCAUCCGAAAAGAGGCAUUACUUCCCGAUCGACCAACUCCAACCAUGAGGAUCGUUAUCACUGUUUUGACUAACAUGGGCUUCAACGAUGCCAAUCAAAGCAGUCACUCUAUCGCCUGAUCCACCAUUGGUACUGUCACCAGGAACGAAACUAAGAAGAAUAUUGAUGAAAGCCAAACCGAAGAAUAAGGCAGCAUGUGCUCUGGGCAAACCACCUCUCCCGCCCACCUUUCCCUCCCUCAUCCUAAGGCUCAGAGACAUAAGACAAAGCUGCUGGAUGGGCGUACUCACGAAGGCCGUUGUAUCCGAAGCGGACUUGUUCUAUUGUUUGUCCAUUAGUAAAACCACCACUGUGCUUACAGUAAUGAUGAUGUCCUUACCCAGAUCGUCUCAUUUUUCACUGCCUUUUCCUCAAUGAUGGCUCAGAAAUAACCUCCCCUCCGGCCUUCUUGUCUGCUUGUCUGCCUGUCAGCCCUCCUGCCUUUCUGGGCUUCCUUUUUAAUGAUGGACGACUACUAUGCGUAGUAUACAGCAUAUACUGACUUCGUCCGAUCAUCACGACGAGGCCACAGCAGAAGACGAUACGCCUUCUCGCUAUUAUUCGUGGGAACAAACUAAACGGAUCCCCAGCCUGUAAUGUCCUACUUUCAGAUCAAAAUGGCACAUGCGGUCAAAAAUAAAUUAGCACAUCCCACGUGGGAAAUGGAGGUGAGUAGAAUGGUAAUUGCCUUUUCUCUCCCG
Molecule: long non-coding RNA, 1554 nt
Organism: Tigriopus californicus
Lineage: Eukaryota; Metazoa; Arthropoda; Copepoda; Harpacticoida; Harpacticidae
Exons: 3
Source: RefSeq, a predicted model, not a curated record